GUUUGACUUUGAAGUCAUGGUCCUUGAUUUAAUGAAUUCUCUGUGGUCUGAUUGUAAGUGUAUUGCUUCAGAGCAUGUGCUUUUGUUUCUUCUUGGCAGGUGUGGUUUAUAGUUUACUCAAGUAGUGGAGCCAGGUAACUGUAGAGGGAAAUGAUAUUACCACUAUCAGACAUGAAUUGUUUUUCUUCUUCUUCUUUCUUUCUUCUUCUGUCAUUUUCAUGUUUUAUAGACACAGUCCAGGAAUGCUAAUACUGUAUCUAAAUUUUUCCCUUUUAAAAAUUUUGUUCACUUUUUUCAUCUCUUAACGUUUUUAGUUACCAGGAAGAAGAAAUUUAAGAUUUUUAAGCCAACUGAGGGGAUUUGAGGUCAAGUGUGUAAUGGGCAUGGCUAAGGACUCUGCAGUGUCUUCUUUUUAUAUCCUGAAUGUUGUAAUGGAUGAUGUCAUCAGAAAAUUAUCUUUCUGCAAGGAGAGGUAUUAGCCCUUGGAUGUUACUCAACCCACCAGCUAAUUAAAUCCUUAUUUUUCUAUCUCUUUUCUUCUCUUUCCAAAAUUGUAUAAAUCAUUCAAAUAGAGUAUACACAUAUUUUGUAGGCCUUAUUGUUAGGGACAUCAUAUGACCAAGUAGUUUCUUUCACCCACUUAUCCAUAUAUAGCAAAAACAGUAUUUUAUACAUGGAUUGUAAAUUAUAUUUUACAGUAAAAAGAAGCAGAAGGACAGCAUUAAAUCUGAGUCAGAUCACAGCAUUUCCUGUUACUUACUUAUACGAGACAUGUGUUUCAGUACUUUUCCAAUACAUUUCAGAGUUUCUUCUGGGGGAAGACAUUUCUAUGCUUAAGGUGCUAUCAUUAUCUAUCUCUGGGUUAGGGACUGCUACAGUUAAUACAUUUAAAGCCAAUGCUGUCAUAUUUGUAGUCGUGAUUUUAAAACAAUUAACAUAAAUGAUUUUCUUCCUCUAAAAUCAUUCUUCCAAAAACCUAAAUUAUUUUCAUGAGCAUGGGGAUUUUUCUUUCCUGUGUGAAAAAAAUGUCUGGCUCAUUAUAGGAGUUGAAUAAACUUUUGUAGUAUAAAUGAAUGAAUGUGCCACUUUUGAUCUGGGAAUUCAUGUUAUGUAUUUUAUCUGAUGCCACAAUUUUAGAGUCAUAACUUCAAAUUCUGUGGUCUCAGGAAAAAUACUUUUUAAUUCAAAUAGCUAUUCUUCACAAUAUUUAUAGUAGUAGGUGGUGAGGUUGGUGUUGAGAGACCCUGCCUUUUAUGGCAUCCCAAACCAGCAUUGAGGCUACAUGUAGAACUUGGGUGUGGUCCUAGUCCAAAUUGGUUUCCUCCAAACCAAAAGAAUAUGUAAAUUUGGAUGUGUGUUCAAAUUUAUUCAUGAGACUGAUAUUAAAAAUUAUAUUUAAAAUUUUCAAGGGUACCAGUGAAAAGGGAUUUAAUUUUUUUUUCGGUCCAUUUAGCAAUGUAUUUGCCAUCUUUUGGGGGGCAAGGCAGGAUGGAGAGUAUAGGUCACUGGCAAUUUCAGUUCCUGGAAGUGAAAAUGUCAGAGGCCAAACCAUCUUGGACUGGGGACAAUCACCACGACUGACACUUUAUUUAUACAAAUACAGUCAGGUAUCCACCACCAAUCCAAAAUCUGAAAUAAAACCACCGCUGACGUAAUCUGUCUGAAUGCAGAUUACUGGGUCCUGC
RNAcentral lists this long non-coding RNA (1685 nucleotides) under Equus caballus (horse). Its description in RNAcentral is "lncRNA (ENSECAG00000048699.1)". The record is from RNAcentral. Lineage: Eukaryota; Metazoa; Chordata; Mammalia; Perissodactyla; Equidae.